This 228-nucleotide long non-coding RNA is filed under the name Lathyrus oleraceus (garden pea). Its description in RNAcentral is "Pisum sativum (pea) long non-coding RNA (PSAT_LNC000363)". The record is from RNAcentral. Lineage: Eukaryota; Viridiplantae; Streptophyta; Magnoliopsida; Fabales; Fabaceae.
ACAUUGAGACACCAGAAGAAACAAAUGCACAUUAAAUCAAAAAUGACUCCAAAAAUCUUGACAAAAUUCAUGAGUAAACAGGACAUAUAACAUGAUCAUCACACAAAAAAUUAGAGGCAUUGGACAUCAUUAGGCAUCGCAAUCACUUUGAUCAAUCAAGACAAGCACAUGUGUGACACAAAUUGUCACACCAAGUUAGCAUAGGCAUAAAACAGAGAUGGAUCAUGG